CCUACGGGAGGCAGCAGUGGGGAAUAUUGCACAAUGGUGGUAACCCUGAUGCAGCGACGCCGCGUGAGUGAAGACGUAUUUCGGUAUGUAAAGCUCUGUCAGCAGGGAAGAAAAUGACGGUACCUGACCAAGAAGCCCCGGCUAACUACGUGCCAGCAGCCGCGGUAAUACGUAGGGGGCCAGCGUUAUCCGGAUUUACUGGGUGUAAAGGGAGCGUAGACGGCAGGGCAAGUCUGGAGUGAAAGGCGGGGGCUCAACCCCCGGACUACUCUGGAAACUGUCAGGCUGGAGUGCAGGAGAGGUAAGUGGAAUUCCUAGUGUAGCGGUGAAAUGCGUAGAUAUUAGGAGGAACACCAGUGGCGAAGGCGGCUUACUGGACUGUAACUGACGUUGAGGCUCGAAAGCGUGGGGAGCAAACAGGAUUAGAUACCCCUGUAGUC
RNAcentral lists this ribosomal RNA (440 nucleotides) under uncultured bacterium. RNAcentral describes it as "partial 16S ribosomal RNA". It matches the Rfam family "Bacterial small subunit ribosomal RNA", at positions 338 to 795 of the family's 1533-position model. The record is from RNAcentral.